Molecule: long non-coding RNA, 108 nt
Organism: Ipomoea nil (Japanese morning glory)
Lineage: Eukaryota; Viridiplantae; Streptophyta; Magnoliopsida; Solanales; Convolvulaceae
Exons: 3
Source: RefSeq, a predicted model, not a curated record
UGGAGGAUCAGAUCGGUUAUGAAAUCAAUAGUUGGGGUUUAAUUGGUCAAAAUUGAUAGUCGAUGACCAAUUUGGUAAUUACGACAUAAUUGAAGUCUCGAGGGACCA